GCGCAGCAGUCGCGAAAACUCCGCAAUACGCGAAAACGUGACGGGGCCAUCCCGAGUGCCGUCCGCUGAGGACGGCUUUUCCCCUGUGUAGAUAGCUGGGGGAAUAAGGAGAGGGCAAGUCUGGUGUCAGCCGCCGCGGUAAUACCAGCUCUUCGAGUGGUAGGGAUGUUUAUUGGGCCUGAAGCAUCCGUAGCUGGCUGAACAAGUCCUCCGUUAAAUCCAGCGAUUUAAUCGUUGGAUUGCGGGGGAUACUGCUCGGCUAGGGGGUGGGAGAGACCAACGGUAUUCUCGGGGUAGGGGUGAAAUCCUAUAAUCCCGGGAGGACCACCAGUGGCGAAGGCGGCCGACUAAAACGCGCCCGACGGUCAGGGACGAAGCCCAGGGGCGCAAACGGGAUUAGAUACCCGCGUAGUCC
This 415-nucleotide ribosomal RNA is filed under the name uncultured crenarchaeote. RNAcentral's name for it is "partial 16S ribosomal RNA". It matches the Rfam family "Archaeal small subunit ribosomal RNA", at positions 330 to 747 of the family's 1478-position model. The record is from RNAcentral. Lineage: Archaea; Thermoproteati; Thermoproteota.